RNAcentral lists this ribosomal RNA (882 nucleotides) under uncultured bacterium. RNAcentral's name for it is "bacterial SSU rRNA". It matches the Rfam family "Bacterial small subunit ribosomal RNA", at positions 22 to 902 of the family's 1533-position model. The record is from RNAcentral.
GCUCAGGAUGAACGCUAGCGGCAGGCUUAACACAUGCAAGUCGUGGGGUAACAGGUGUAGCAAUACAUGCUGACGACCGGCGCACGGGUGAGUAACGCGUAUGCAACCUUCCUUUUACUGGAAGAUAGCCCCGAGAAAUCGGGAUUAAUAUUCCAUAAUAUCAUUGAAGGGCAUCCUUUAAUGAUUAAAGCUCCGGCGGUAAAAGAUGGGCAUGCGUGCCAUUAGCUAGUUGGUAAGGUAACGGCUUACCAAGGCUACGAUGGCUAGGGGGUCUGAGAGGAUGAUCCCCCACACUGGUACUGAGACACGGACCAGACUCCUACGGGAGGCAGCAGUGAGGAAUAUUGGGCAAUAGGCGCAAGCCUGACCCAGCCAUGCCGCGUGAAGGAUGACUGCCCUAUGGGUUGUAAACUUCUUUUAUACGGGAAGAAACUUUCGAACGUGUUCGGAAUUGACGGUACUGUAUGAAUAAGCAUCGGCUAACUCCGUGCCAGCAGCCGCGGUAAUACGGAGGAUGCAAGCGUUAUCCGGAUUCAUUGGGUUUAAAGGGUGCGUAGGCGGAUUGAUAAGUCAGUGGUGAAAUCCUGCAGCUUAACUGUAGAACUGCCAUUGAUACUGUCAACCUUGAAUGCAGUUGAGGUAGGCGGAAUGUGUAAUGUAGCGGUGAAAUGCGUAGAUAUUACACAGAACACCGAUUGCGAAGGCAGCUUGCUAAACUGUGAUUGACGCUGAGGCACGAAAGCGUGGGGAUCAAACAGGAUUAGAUACCCUGGUAGUCCACGCUGUAAACGAUGAUCACUCGCUGUUGGCGAUAUAUAGUCAGCGGCUAAGCAAAAGCAUUAAGUGAUCCACCUGGGGAGUACGGCGGCAACGCUGAAACUC